Molecule: long non-coding RNA, 203 nt
Organism: Neogale vison (American mink)
Lineage: Eukaryota; Metazoa; Chordata; Mammalia; Carnivora; Mustelidae
Exons: 3
Source: RefSeq, a predicted model, not a curated record
CACCCAGCUGCCCUCAGAAUGAUCUAACAGACAUGGCCAGUUACCUUGGAGAAUAUGUUUCUACCCAGGUUUUUUGCACAUGGGACCCCAUUUGUUGGAGGAGUUCAUCUAGAGUAUGUGAUCACCAGUUGACUCCAAGCUGGCCCUAGACAAUCAGGUGCUCCUCCUCCCCUGUCUUUGGAAUGAAUUUUGGAAAGCUGUGG